GGAUUAGAUACCCUGGUAGUCCACACGGUAAACGAUGAAUACUCGCUGUUUGCGAUAUACGGCAAGCGGCCAAGCGAAAGCGUUAAGUAUUCCACCUGGGGAGUACGCCGGCAACGGUGAAACUCAAAGGAAUUGACGGGGGCCCGCACAAGCGGAGGAACAUGUGGUUUAAUUCGAUGAUACGCGAGGAACCUUACCCGGGCUUAAAUUGCACUCGAAUGAUCCGGAAACGGUUCAGCUAGCAAUAGCGAGUGUGAAGGUGCUGCAUGGUUGUCGUCAGCUCGUGCCGUGAGGUGUCGGCUUAAGUGCCAUAACGAGCGCAACCCUUGUUGUCAGUUACUAACAGGUGAUGCUGAGGACUCUGACAAGACUGCCAUCGUAAGAUGUGAGGAAGGUGGGGAUGACGUCAAAUCAGCACGGCCCUUACGUCCGGGGCUACACACGUGUUACAAUGGGGGGUACAGAGGGCCGCUACCACGCGAGUGGAUGCCAAUCCCUAAAACCCCUCUCAGUUCGGACUGGAGUCUGCAACCCGACUCCACGAAGCUGGAUUCGCUAGUAAUCGCGCAUCAGCCACGGCGCGGUGAAUACGUUCCCGGGCCUUGUACACACCGCCCGUCAAGCCAUGGGAGCCGGGGGUACCUGAAGUGCGUAACCGCGAGGAUCGCCCUAGGGUAAAACUGGUGACUGGGGCUAAGUCGUAACAAGGUAGCCGUACCGGAAGGUGCGGCUG
This 733-nucleotide ribosomal RNA is filed under the name Phocaeicola dorei. RNAcentral's name for it is "bacterial SSU rRNA". It matches the Rfam family "Bacterial small subunit ribosomal RNA", at positions 775 to 1520 of the family's 1533-position model. RNAcentral also lists the same sequence under 1 other name. The record is from RNAcentral. Lineage: Bacteria; Pseudomonadati; Bacteroidota; Bacteroidia; Bacteroidales; Bacteroidaceae.